RNAcentral lists this small RNA (1811 nucleotides) under Arabidopsis thaliana (thale cress). RNAcentral's name for it is "ATSL208900". Lineage: Eukaryota; Viridiplantae; Streptophyta; Magnoliopsida; Brassicales; Brassicaceae. The record is from RNAcentral.
GGGGAAUCUCCUUACCCGCGAUAUCGCGCUCUACCUCAUGUGCCAUGCGAGUGGAAUCGCGUCUCUGCUGACCCAUAAUUGCGACGAGAUUGCGAUGCGCAAUUUCUUGGUUUUUUGUUAAGUUGAUCAAGUUCAUGAUCAUUGCGCGGAGCUCGGCCAAUUCGCUGGCAGGUCGCGAGGGGACCUGAUUAGAUAGGUUGGCCGAGUUAUCUCCGUUUGGAGGUUGUAUCGUGACGUUUCGUUCUCCGCCCCUUGUUUGCGGAGGGAGAGUGAUUUGGUCAGAUCCAGAAGAAUUCGAGUUUUGGGAGAUGUUCUCUGUGUCAGUGUUAUGGAUAGCAUCAACCUGGGCUCCGGGAGGGAGAUCCGUUGGGAGGUGCCCGUCCGUAACGUCAUCGUUUGGGAUCUGAACUGGUAAGCCAGAUCCCGAUGUGUUGGAUGAAUUGGGAUCCAUGAUCGUUGGUCACAAUUGAUGUGUUAGUUUCGGUGUUAGAAUGAUCUAUUUCCGUCCCCACAGACGGCGCCAAAUGUGGGUUCUGAAAUCCACAUUAGAGAUUUGUAUUUAAGAUUAUGAGAAAGGAGGGCUAGAUCUUCACUGAAACCUUGAGAGUUAUAUUGCUAAGAACGAAUGGACUUUUGUAUUGAUUUUGACAAAGCUUUUACAAUGAGAAAAGAGAUUACAAGUGUAAAAGUGUGUGUGUGAAUGUAAGCUAGAUUGAAUGUCUCUUCCAAGUCGUCCUUGCUCCCUUAUAUAGGUCUACGCACGUGGUAGCUCUGUCCGGGAUCUGCGGAGAUCCUCCUGGAUAUUCGGUAGGUCAGUUUUGAGAUAUCAGGUCCGCUCCGUGAAUAUCUCCUCGUCAGUUCCUAGGUCAUUAUUCGCUUAUCUCCCUUCAUCAGCUGACUGGGUUAUCUGGCCCAAAUACCCAUUCGCGUAUGUGGGCUCGUGAGCUGCGUAGGUCCUCUACUUAGUGGGAUUGGUGGGCUUUUGUUGGCUGGCUUGGUAUUUUCGCAGGUGGAUUCCUGGAGGGGAAUCCAGCUCAAACAACUAUCCUGUCGUUGUAGUAUUUUAGGUGUCAAUCCAAUCUGGUGUGAUGCAAACAUAUGAGAUAUGAUUAGAAAGCUCUAAGUCAAGCCAAGCAGAGAGUUGGUUGGUCCUAACAGUCCUAGUAUUCAAUAACAGAAAGGAAAUGAAAAUAAAAGCAGAAAUAGCAAUAACAGGCAGGUGAAUAACAAAGCAAAAAUGAUAACAGGCAAUCAAAUGGAUAAACGAUUCCUAAGGAUGGGGUAAUCGAAUAGUGUGGUCUCCUUAAUCUAUUCAGGUGGUUGACAAAUCUUCAAAGAAGCUAUCCCUAGACAACAAGUUCAACAGAUUAAUUCACUCCCGUGAUAGAAAUCCUCAAACAAAGCUAGACACUAACCUAAUUCCCAUUAGCGAUCUCUAACUAAGCAGGCAUUAUCGAAUCAACAUGUUAAAGCCAAUACCCUCUCUACAGCCAAUCUCUUGGGGUAGAGUCAGAUAUCUCUGGAAUUUAUAGGAUCCAACGCCCAUUAAACGCCUUCUGAGCGCUGGACGUCUGGACUCAUAUUCCACAUUAACCAGUGAAACAAGCAAUAAGCGCAACUAAUCCAGAAGGGAUUCUAGUAUUCUAAACUCAACCACCUAAAACGACCAAGUAAACCACAACUAAUCUAUCCCAUCCUCAGAAAUACGGUUCACUACUCAGACAUAAUCAAAGACAAUAGCAAAGUAACGAUUGAAAACAUGAUAACAUAAAUGACGUAAGACUUAUACGAAAACUAAAUAUCAAAUACUU